This 573-nucleotide ribosomal RNA is filed under the name Debaryomyces hansenii. RNAcentral's name for it is "LSU rRNA". It matches the Rfam family "Eukaryotic large subunit ribosomal RNA", at positions 64 to 657 of the family's 3401-position model. The record is from RNAcentral. Lineage: Eukaryota; Fungi; Ascomycota; Pichiomycetes; Serinales; Debaryomycetaceae.
ACUUCAAGCAUGCUUAGUACGGCGAGUGAGCGGCAAAAGCUCAAAUUUGAAAUCUGGCACCUUCGGUGUCCGAGUUGUAAUUUGAAGAAGGUAACUUUGGAGUUGGCUCUUGUCUAUGUUCCUUGGAACAGGACGUCACAGAGGGUGAGAAUCCCGUGCGAUGAGAUGCCCAAUUCUAUGUAAAGUGCUUUCGAAGAGUCGAGUUGUUUGGGAAUGCAGCUCUAAGUGGGUGGUAAAUUCCAUCUAAAGCUAAAUAUUGGCGAGAGACCGAUAGCGAACAAGUACAGUGAUGGAAAGAUGAAAAGAACUUUGAAAAGAGAGUGAAAAAGUACGUGAAAUUGUUGAAAGGGAAGGGCUUGAGAUCAGACUUGGUAUUUUGCGAUCCUUUCCUUCUUGGUUGGGUUCCUCGCAGCUUACUGGGCCAGCAUCGGUUUGGAUGGUAGGAUAAUGACUAAGGAAUGUGGCUCUACUUCGGUGGAGUGUUAUAGCCUUGGUUGAUACUGCCUGUCUAGACCGAGGACUGCGUCUUUUGACUAGGAUGUUGGCAUAAUGAUCUUAAGCCACCCGUCUGAA